RNAcentral lists this ribosomal RNA (251 nucleotides) under uncultured prokaryote. RNAcentral describes it as "partial 16S rRNA". It matches the Rfam family "Bacterial small subunit ribosomal RNA", at positions 525 to 775 of the family's 1533-position model. The record is from RNAcentral.
ACGGAGGAUGCGAGCGUUAUCCGGAUUUAUUGGGUUUAAAGGGUGCGUAGGUGGACUGUUUAGUCAGUGGUGAAAUGCUGAUGCUCAACGUUAGCAUUGCCGUUGAAACUGACAGUCUUGAGAGUGAUUGAGGCAGGCGGAAUGUGUGGUGGAGGGGUAAAAUACAAAAAUAUCACAAAGAACCCCAAUAGCGUAGGCAUCUUGCAAAGCCACAACUGACACUGAAGCACGAAAGCGUGGGGAUCAAACAG